RNAcentral lists this ribosomal RNA (254 nucleotides) under uncultured bacterium. RNAcentral's name for it is "partial 16S ribosomal RNA". It matches the Rfam family "Bacterial small subunit ribosomal RNA", at positions 524 to 776 of the family's 1533-position model. The record is from RNAcentral.
UACGUAGGUGGCGAGCGUUGUCCGGAUUUACUGGGCGUAAAGCGCGCGUAGGUGGCUUUGGAAGUCCUGUCGUGAAAGGUCGCGGCCCAACUGCGACAGUGCGGAGGAUACUCCAAGGCUUGAGGGCAGCAGAGGUCGGUGGAAUUCCCGGUGGAGUGGUGAAAUGCGUAGAUAUCGGAAGGAACGCCGGUGGCGAAAGCGACGUGCUGGACCUUUUCUGACGCUGAGGCGCGAAAGCCAGGGGAGCAAACGGG